RNAcentral lists this ribosomal RNA (305 nucleotides) under uncultured bacterium. RNAcentral's name for it is "bacterial SSU rRNA". It matches the Rfam family "Bacterial small subunit ribosomal RNA", at positions 334 to 636 of the family's 1533-position model. The record is from RNAcentral.
UUGUCCUACGGGGGGCAGCAGUGGGGAAUAUUGGUCAAUGGGCUUACGCCUGAACCAGCCAAGUCGCGUGAGGGAAGACUGCCCUAUGGGUUGUAAACCUCUUUUGUCAGGGAGCAACGCCGGCUACGUGUAGCCGGACUGAGAGUACCUGAAGAAAAAGCAUCGGCUAACUCCGUGCCAGCAGCCGCGGUAAUACGGAGGAUACGAGCGUUAUCCGGAUUUAUUGGGUUUAAAGGGUGCGUAGGCGGUUUUUUAAGUUAGUGGUUAAACGUCGGGGCUUCACCUUGAUUUGCCCUUAAUACUGU